AAAUGAUUCUUAUCUCUUUUUGGAGAGAUGGCCGAGAGGUUUAAAGCGUCGGAUUGCUAAUCCGU
RNAcentral lists this transfer RNA (65 nucleotides) under Ptisana salicina. RNAcentral's name for it is "partial tRNA-Ser". Lineage: Eukaryota; Viridiplantae; Streptophyta; Polypodiopsida; Marattiales; Marattiaceae. RNAcentral also lists the same sequence under 1 other name. The record is from RNAcentral.